RNAcentral lists this ribosomal RNA (398 nucleotides) under uncultured bacterium. RNAcentral describes it as "bacterial SSU rRNA". It matches the Rfam family "Bacterial small subunit ribosomal RNA", at positions 30 to 429 of the family's 1533-position model. The record is from RNAcentral.
AUUGAACGCUGGCGGCAUGCCUUACACAUGCAAGUCGAACGGCAGCACGGGAGCAAUCCUGGUGGCGAGUGGCGAACGGGUGAGUAAUGUAUCGGAACGUACCUUUCAGUGGGGGAUAACGUAGCGAAAGUUACGCUAAUACCGCAUAUUCUGUGAGCAGGAAAGCAGGGGAUCGCAAGACCUUGCGCUGAUUGAGCGGCCGAUAUCAGAUUAGCUAGUUGGUGAGGUAAAGGCUCACCAAGGCGACGAUCUGUAGCGGGUCUGAGAGGAUGAUCCGCCACACUGGAACUGAGACACGGUCCAGACUCCUACGGGAGGCAGCAGUGGGGAAUUUUGGACAAUGGGCGAAAGCCUGAUCCAGCCACGCCGCGUGGGUGAUGAAGGCCUUCGGUUGUAAG